Molecule: unclassified non-coding RNA, 243 nt
Filed under: Fusarium sp.
Lineage: Eukaryota; Fungi; Ascomycota; Sordariomycetes; Hypocreales; Nectriaceae
Description: partial contains 5.8S ribosomal RNA, internal transcribed spacer 2, and large subunit ribosomal RNA
Source: RNAcentral
CGCACAUUGCGCCCGCCAGUAUUCUGGCGGGCAUGCCUGUUCGAGCGUCAUUUCAACCCUCAAGCUCAGCUUGGUGUUGGGAUUCGUGUGGUAACACACGGUCCCCAAAUUGAUUGGCGGUCACGUCGAGCUUCCAUAGCGUAGUAAUUUAUUCUCGUUAGUGGUAAUCGUCGCGGCCAUGCCGUUAAACCCCAACUUCUGAAUGUUGACCUCGGAUCAGGUAGGAAUACCCGCUGAACUUAA